Molecule: ribosomal RNA, 335 nt
Filed under: Megaphasma denticrus
Lineage: Eukaryota; Metazoa; Arthropoda; Insecta; Phasmatodea; Diapheromeridae
Description: partial small subunit ribosomal RNA
Source: RNAcentral
UUAUGUUCUUUAAACCCAAAGAAUUUGGCGGUGUUUUAUACCUGUUAGAGGAACCUGUCCCUUAAUCGAUAAUCCACGUUUUAUCUUACUUAAUUUUGUUUUCAGUAUGUAUAUCUCCGUUAUAAGUUUAUUUUUUUAGAAUAUUUACUUAAUAAUUUAUUUAUUAUUAUUUCAGGUCAAGGUGCAGCUUAUAAUUAAGAGGAGAUGGGUUACAAUAUUUUUAAUAAACGGAUUAAUUUAUGAAAUUUUUAAUGAAGGUGGAUUUAAUAGUAAAUUUAUUUAUAUAGAUAAAUUGAUUAUGGCUCUAAAAUAAGCACACAUCGCCCGUCGCUCUA